This 254-nucleotide ribosomal RNA is filed under the name uncultured bacterium. Its description in RNAcentral is "partial 16S ribosomal RNA". It matches the Rfam family "Bacterial small subunit ribosomal RNA", at positions 524 to 776 of the family's 1533-position model. The record is from RNAcentral.
UACGUAGGGUGCAAGCGUUGUCCGGAAUUAUUGGGCGUAAAGAGCUCGUAGGCGGCUUGUCGCGUCGACUGUGAAAACCCGUGGCUCAACCAUGUGGUCUGCAGUCGAUACGGGCAGGCUAGAAUUCGGUAGGGGAGACUGGAAUUCCUGGUGUAGCGGUGAAAUGCGCAGAUAUCAGGAGGAACACCGGUGGCGAAGGCGGGUCUCUGGGCCGAUACUGACGCUGAGGAGCGAAAGCGUGGGGAGCGAACAGG